AUCGAGAGACGGGGGCGUUCGCCGCAAGGCGAGCUGAGAAGCACCCUUCGAACCUGAACCAGAUCAUGCUGGCGGAGGGAGUCGCUCGGGGCAGCCU
Molecule: regulatory RNA element, 97 nt
Rfam family: TPP riboswitch aptamer (THI element)
About the family: Vitamin B(1) in its active form thiamin pyrophosphate (TPP) is an essential coenzyme that is synthesised by coupling of pyrimidine and thiazole moieties in bacteria. The previously detected thiamin-regulatory element, thi box was extended, resulting in a new, highly conserved RNA secondary structure, the THI element, which is widely distributed in eubacteria and also occurs in some archaea. Analysis of operon structures identified a large number of new candidate thiamin-regulated genes, mostly transporters, in various prokaryotic organisms.
Source: Rfam